GAAGGAUGGCCGGAGCUCAGCCCUUUGCGCCGAGAGCGCCCAGCAUCCCGGCCGCGGAGCCGCGCCGAGCGGGGCGCGGGCGGACCCGAGGAGGAGAGCGGCGAUCCCCGCCGAGAUGCUUAUCUACAAUGAGUUCUAAACAGAGAGGAAUAAAUGUAGAAGGCUAAAGUGCUAAAAGCCUUGCUGAAGAUGCAAGCCACCUCCACUGGAAGUUAAUUAAAAAAAGGAAAUACGUCAGAUUAUCUGUAUUCCACACAGAUUAGAAGAUUCAGAUACUGCAAAAAUAGACAAGUCCUAACUACACUGCACGAUGUGGCAUUAAUACUUCCUUUGUAGUAUAUUCCUCAACAAUUCUAAAUACUGAGAUUAUAACACUCAGAUGUGUUCUCCA
Molecule: long non-coding RNA, 391 nt
Organism: Aquila chrysaetos chrysaetos
Lineage: Eukaryota; Metazoa; Chordata; Aves; Accipitriformes; Accipitridae
Exons: 2
Source: RefSeq, a predicted model, not a curated record